This 775-nucleotide ribosomal RNA is filed under the name uncultured bacterium. RNAcentral describes it as "bacterial SSU rRNA". It matches the Rfam family "Bacterial small subunit ribosomal RNA", at positions 51 to 845 of the family's 1533-position model. The record is from RNAcentral.
ACACAUGCAGUCGUGGGGCAGCAGGCUACUACCUUCGGGUAGUAGUGCUGGCGACCGGCAAACGGGUGAGUAACACGUAGCUUACCUACCCAUAGGUUGGGGAUAACAUCCCGAAAGGGGUGCUAAUACCCAAUAAUGAGGAGACUCCAAAGCCCUUAUGGGCGCCUAUGGAUGGGGCUGCGUCCCAUCAGCUAGUUGGUGAGGUAAUGGCUCACCAAGGCUACGACGGGUAACCGGUCUGAGAGGAUGACCGGUCACAGUGGGACUGAGACACGGCCCGCACCCCUACGGGGGGCAGCAGUGGGGAAUAUUGGGCAAUGGCCGAAAGGCUGACCCAGCAACGCCGCGUGGUGGAUGAAGCCCUUCGGGGCGUAAACACCUUUUCUGGGGGAAGAUAAUGACGGUACCCCAGGAAUAAGGGACGGCUAACUACGUGCCAGCCGCCGCGGUAAUACGUAGGUCCCGAACGUUGCGCGAAUUUACUGGGCGUAAAGGGUCCGUAGGCGGUUUAGCAAGUGGUUGGUGAAAUUUCACGGCUCAACCGUGAAACUGCCUUCCAAACUGCUAAACUUGAGGCAGGGAGAGGUCGGCGGAAUUUCCCGGUGUAGCGGUGAAAUGCGUACAUAUCGGGAGGAACACCAGUGGCGAACGCGGCCGGCUGGAACUGUCCUGACGCUGAGGGACGAAAGCUAGGGGAGCAAACUCGAUUAGAUUCCCGCUAGUCCCAGCCGUAAACCGAUGGAUGCUAGAUGUGAGACUACGAAAGUAGUUCGUG